AACGCGAAGAACCUUACCUGGGCUUGAACCGCUACUGACCAACGGUAGAAAUAUCGUCUUCCCGCAAGGGACAGUAGUAGAGGUGCUGCAUGGCUGUCGUCAGCUCGUGCCGUGAGGUGUUGGGUUAAGUCCCGCAACGAGCGCAACCCUUACUCGUAGUUGCUACCCGCAAGGGAGAACUCUACGAGGACUGCUCCGGAUAACGGAGAGGAAGGUGGGGAUGACGUCAAGUCAGCACGGCCUUUAUGUCCAGGGCUACACACGUGUUACAAUGCAUGGUACAGACUGUUGCGAACCCGCGAGGGGGAGCUAAUCGGACAAAACCAUGCUCAGUUCGGAUUGCAGUCUGCAACUCGGCUGCAUGAAGCUGGAAUCGCUAGUAAUGGCGUAUCAGAUCGACGCCGUGAAUACGUUCCCGGGCCUUGUA
RNAcentral lists this ribosomal RNA (427 nucleotides) under uncultured Acidobacteriota bacterium. Its description in RNAcentral is "bacterial SSU rRNA". It matches the Rfam family "Bacterial small subunit ribosomal RNA", at positions 958 to 1385 of the family's 1533-position model. The record is from RNAcentral. Lineage: Bacteria; Pseudomonadati; Acidobacteriota.